AAACCAACAGGGAUUGCCUCAGUAGCGGCGAGUGAAGCGGCAAGAGCUCAGAUUUGAAAUCGCAGCACCAUGCUGCGAGUUGUAGAUUGCAGGUGGGAGAGUCUGCGUAGGCCGGUGUCGAAGUCCCUUGGAACAGGGCGCCACUGAGGGUGAGAGCCCCGUGCGAUGCCACGCUCUACGUUUUGUACUCCCCUCUGACGAGUCGAGUUGUUUGGGAAUGCAGCUCUAAGUGGGUGGUAAAUUCCAUCUAAGGCUAAAUACUGGCGAGAGACCGAUAGCGAACAAGUACUGUGAAGGAAAGAUGAAAAGCACUUUGAAAAGAGAGUGAAACAGCACGUGAAAUUGUUGAAAGGGAAGGGUAUUGGGCCCGACAUGGGAAUCGCGCACCGCUGCUCCUUGUGGGCGGCGCUCUGGGCUUUUCCUGGGCCAGCAUCGGUUCUUGCUGCAGGAGAAG
Molecule: ribosomal RNA, 454 nt
Filed under: Pichia cactophila
Lineage: Eukaryota; Fungi; Ascomycota; Pichiomycetes; Pichiales; Pichiaceae
Description: eukaryotic LSU rRNA
Rfam family: Eukaryotic large subunit ribosomal RNA
Source: RNAcentral